GUUCUUAGAUCCGGGUCUCUCUGUGGGUCACCUUGACUGUGGCUGUCUGUUUCCGAACAUUAGAGGAAUGAUGUAAACAGAUAUGUCAUCCCCAGAUCCCAGUCUACCGAUCGGUGUCCUCCAGCCUUGUUCAGGUCUCUGAAAAUCCAGAGCCUAUCCCAGGGCACUACUGAGGCAAAAGACAGGGGACAGACUCCCAUCACAGAGCACAAAUGAGAGAUUGCAAUCAGCCUACAGCGCAUGACUUUGGACUGGAUGGAGGUCACCAGGGUACAAAGAGGAAACCAUCAAGGCAUGGGGAGAACACGCAAACUCUGUGUCCGGAGGCAAAAAUCAAACCACCCUCCCCAGAGUCUUACCAAACACUGAAGUCUCUGUCUCUCUGACUCUGGAGUGAAGGCACUUGACAUUGGGAUGAUUUCCCCACUACGCAGAAUUAUGGCCCUGGCAGAGAAAACAGAAAACACAACUGUGCCUUGGGGAACAUUUAAAAGCUUCAUCUGAAAGGUCACUCAACCUACUUUAGUGUGAGUGAGAACUGAACGUUGAACAUCUGGAUGUUCCUUUCCUACUCUGAGUGUAUGUGUGUGUGAGUAUUGUGACAUAGGACUAGCUCGACUUCUACGACACCCGACCGCUUACUCUGGCUCGUGGUAAACUGAGAUAAAUAAAUAAAUCAAGGUCAUGUGGUAACAUCAUGUGGUGCAUGAUGUACUGUACAGGAUGAGAAUGUGUACACGAAUGAGUGUUUCAGUCUCCACACCUUGCAAUAUCAUGCGAUUAUUGUAGCUAAACAUGUCAGCAGUUGCUACGAUGGAGUUUACUAUCAUUUGGCUUCAUGCUUGUCACUGACGUAUGAAAGGACUAACAAAUUUGAACAAAUCUCUCAGGAUUGCAUGAAGCAAUGCGUUAGAUUUUACUGGUCUCAGAUCAGAGAUCAGAGAUUUACCUGCUGUCUCCUGCAUUGGCCACAUAAAGCUUUCCCAACAAGCAGAUCACCACUAAAGCUGUGCACCCU
Long non-coding RNA from Tachysurus fulvidraco (yellow catfish), 1018 nucleotides. RefSeq lists it as uncharacterized. The record is from RefSeq and is a predicted model, not a curated record. The transcript has 3 exons. NCBI's taxonomy places the organism in Eukaryota, Metazoa, Chordata, Actinopteri, Siluriformes, Bagridae.